CAGCAGCCGCGGUAAUACGUAGGUGGCAAGCGUUAUCCGGAAUGAUUGGGCGUAAAGGGUGCGCAGGCGGUCCUGCAAGUCUGGAGUGAAACGUAUGAGCUCAACUCAUGCAUGGCUCUGGAAACUGGAGGACUGGAGAGCAGGAGAGGGCGGUGGAACUCCAUGUGUAGCGGUGAAAUGCGUAGAUAUAUGGAAGAACACCAGUGGCGAAGGCGGCCGCCUGGCCUGUUGCUGACGCUGAGGCACGAAAGCGUGGGGAGCAAAUAGGAUUAGAUACCCUAGUAGUCCACGCCGUAAACGAUGAAUGCUAGCUGUCCGGUUCUUUGGGACUGGGUGGCACAGCGAAAGCGUUAAGCAUUCCACCUGGGGAGUACGCCGGCAACGGUGAAACUCAAAGGAAUUGACGG
This 407-nucleotide ribosomal RNA is filed under the name Klebsiella pneumoniae. RNAcentral describes it as "bacterial SSU rRNA". It matches the Rfam family "Bacterial small subunit ribosomal RNA", at positions 509 to 916 of the family's 1533-position model. Lineage: Bacteria; Pseudomonadati; Pseudomonadota; Gammaproteobacteria; Enterobacterales; Enterobacteriaceae. The record is from RNAcentral.